AUUGAACGCUGGCGGCAGGCCUAACACAUGCAAGUCGAGCGAGCGGCGGACGGGUGAGUAAUGUCUGGGAAACUGCCUGAUGGAGGGGGAUAACUACUGGAAACGGUAGCUAAUACCGCAUACCAUCAGAUGUGCCCAGAUGGGAUUAGCUAGUAGGUGGGGUAACGGCUCACCUAGGCUACGAUCCCUAGCUGGUCUGAGAGGAUGACCAGCCACACUGGAACUGAGACACGGUCCAGACUCCUACGGGAGGCAGCAGUGGGGAAUAUUGCCCAAUGGGCGCAAGCCUGAUGCAGCCAUGCCGCGUGGGUGAGGAAGGCCUUCGGGUUGUAAAGCACGUUCAGCGGGGAGGCGUUACCCACAGAAGAAGCACCGGCUAACUCCGUGCCAGCAGCCGCGGUAAUUC
This 406-nucleotide ribosomal RNA is filed under the name uncultured bacterium. RNAcentral describes it as "partial 16S ribosomal RNA". It matches the Rfam family "Bacterial small subunit ribosomal RNA", at positions 30 to 526 of the family's 1533-position model. The record is from RNAcentral.